GUUGAUAUGUCCGAGUGGUUAAGGAGACAGACUUGAAAUCUAUUUGGCUUUGUCCCCGCAGGUUCGAACCCUGUUGUGAGAUA
Turnera subulata is the source of this 83-nucleotide non-coding RNA. The record is from the annotation of a GenBank genome assembly. Lineage: Eukaryota; Viridiplantae; Streptophyta; Magnoliopsida; Malpighiales; Passifloraceae.